This 483-nucleotide ribosomal RNA is filed under the name uncultured bacterium. Its description in RNAcentral is "bacterial SSU rRNA". It matches the Rfam family "Bacterial small subunit ribosomal RNA", at positions 15 to 518 of the family's 1533-position model. The record is from RNAcentral.
GAUUCUGGCUCAGAAUGAACGCUGGCGGCAUGGAUUAGGCAUGCAAGUCGAACGUGCGUCCCUUCGGGGAGAAAGUGGCGAAAGGGUGAGUAACACGUGAGCAACCUGCCUCCGGAUCCGGAAUAAUCCAGGGAAACUUGGGUCUAAAACCGGAUGAAGACAUUGGUCCGCAUGGUCUAAUGUUAAAAUAUUUAUAGUCCGGAGAGGGGCUCGCGGCCCAUUAGCUUGUUGCGGGGUAAUGGCCCACCAAGGCUACGACGGGUAGGUGGUCUGAGAGGAUGGUCACCCACACUGGGACUGAGACACUGCCCAGACUCCUACGGGAGGCUGCAGUCGAGAAUCUUCCGCAAUGGGCGCAAAGCCUGACGGAGCGAUGCCGCGUGAGGGAUGAAGGCCUUCGGGUUGUAAACCUCUGUCAUCCGGGACGAAAACAAUGACGGUACCGGAAAAGGAAGCCACGGCUAACCACGUGCCAGCCGCAGC